RNAcentral lists this ribosomal RNA (664 nucleotides) under uncultured fungus. RNAcentral describes it as "eukaryotic LSU rRNA". It matches the Rfam family "Eukaryotic large subunit ribosomal RNA", at positions 24 to 664 of the family's 3401-position model. Lineage: Eukaryota; Fungi. The record is from RNAcentral.
CCCGCUGAACUUAAGCAUAUCAAUAAGCGGAGGAAAAGAAACUAACAAGGAUUCCCCUAGUAACUGCGAGUGAAGCGGGAAAAGCUCAAAUUUAAAAUCUGGCAGCCAUUUUACGGUUGUCCGAGUUGUAAUCUAGAGAAGUGCUUUCCGCGCUAGACCGUGUACAAGUCUCUUGGAAUAGAGCAUCAUAGAGGGUGAGAAUCCCGUCUUUGACACGGACUACCAGUGCUUUAUGUGAUGCGCUCUCAAAGAGUCGAGUUGUUUGGGAAUGCAGCUCAAAAUGGGUGGUAAAUUCCAUCUAAAGCUAAAUAUUGGCGAGAGACCGAUAGCGAACAAGUACCGUGAGGGAAAGAUGAAAAGAACUUUGGAAAGAGAGUUAAACAGUACGUGAAAUUGCUGAAAGGGAAACGCUUGAAGUCAGUCGCGCCGCUCAGGACUCAGCCUUGCUUUUGCUUGGUGUACUUCCUGUUCGAUGGGUCAGCAUCAAUUUUGGUCGGUGGAUAAAGGCUCAGAGAAUGUGGCAUCUUCGGGUGUGUUAUAGCUCUGGGUUGUAUACAUCGGCUGGGAUUGAGGAACUCAGCACGCCGCAAGGCCGGGUACUUGUACCACGUACGUGCUUAGGAUGCUGGCAUAAUGGCUUUAAUCGACCCGUCUUGAAACACGG